RNA transcript from Doryrhamphus excisus (bluestripe pipefish), 3349 nucleotides. It is a transcript of the gene named KH domain containing, RNA binding, signal transduction associated 1b, with no coding region annotated. NCBI's taxonomy places the organism in Eukaryota, Metazoa, Chordata, Actinopteri, Syngnathiformes, Syngnathidae. The record is from RefSeq and is a predicted model, not a curated record.
UCCGCCCUUUGGAGUCUGCCUACUGAGUGUUUUUACUCUCAUUCCAGUCGGAGAAGACACACCGGACGGAAGACGAGUAACCAAAGUACGGCGUCCAAAAAGUAGCGGACACAGUUGAGAGUAAAUCUUUAGUUACAUUCCUGGACUACUUUUUCAAUCGUCACUGUUGGAUUUUUUUAACUCGAAGUGAAUCCUUCCAUUAUCUCUGAACACAAAAUGGAGACCGGCGACAACAAAUAUCUCCCCGAGCUGCUGGCGGAAAAGGACAGCCUGGACUCGUCGUUCACACAUGCCAUGAAACUUUUAAAUGCAGAAAUUGACAGGAUCCAAAAAGGUGAACCCAAGAAGGAUGAGUCUGACAUGUACUUGGAUAUUUUCGCAACAAAGAACAUGAAACUUAAGGAGCGCAUCCUCAUACCUGUCACACAGUACCCCAGGUUCAACUUUGUGGGCAAGAUUCUGGGACCCCAAGGCAACACCAUAAAACGACUGCAGGAGGAGACCGGAGCAAAGAUCUCUGUGUUGGGCAAGGGCUCAAUGAGAGACAAAGCAAAGGAGGAGGAGCUAAGGAAUGGCGGCGAGCCAAAGUAUGCCCACCUGUCGAUGGAGCUGCAUGUGUUUGUGGAGGUGUUUGCCCCCGUGCCUGAUGCCUACCUGCGUAUGGGCCAUGCCAUGGAAGAAGUGAAGAAGUUCUUGUUCCCUGAUGUGACAGAUGAUAUCUGCCAAGAGCAAUUCAUGGAGAUGAGCUAUCUGAAUGGCGGCCAGGAGCAUGGAGGCAGAGGGAGAGGAGUGCGGGGACGGGGCGGCCCCCCAGGACUGCACAGGGGAAGGGGAAUGCCGCCACGUGGAGCUAUCGCUGCUCUGGGAGUCAGAGGCGGUGCAAUAAGGGGCGCCAUGUCGGGCCGUGGAAGGCCUGGCGCUGCAUCUGCCAGGGGAGUUGCAGCAGCCCGUGCCAGACCACCGGCUGCCGGUCCCCUCCAGAGGAUGCAAACCCACCAGCACAAUCCGGCAGCCGCCGAGAGCUAUGAAGAAUAUGGAUACGACGAGAGCUACGACGGGGCGGCCUACGAGUCGUACGACAGCUAUUACAGUCAGCAGCAGACAGAGCCAGAAUACUACGACUACGGACACGGAGAGUCUGCACAGUCAUAUGAAACUUACGGCCAGGAUAAUUGGAAUGGAACACAGCGAGCAGUUCCAGGCAAAGCCCCGCCUUCCGCCAGAGGUGCCAAGACGCCUUACAGGGAUCACCCAUACCGAGCGUACUGAAGCGAGCCCCGCCCCCCCCCUUACAGUGUUACCUGUCGUCCGUGGCAGCUGUCGCUUUAAGCAGCCCGACACAAGCUCGUCUAGGUUGCUCGCUGAGUGCCCGGAGAUGCUAGAGUAGACCGAUGGAGUGAGACCAUGAGACCCUCAGCUUCCCGUCGCAGGAGGCGGCCCCUUGUAAAGCCAUGGCUUAGGGCCCAGUUCUGGAGCCGUUGACAGUCCGGGCCGGGCGCCAAGUGGACCCACAGGAGCCAGCUGGUGUAGCUCGGGGACAGGGUCCAAGCUCAGACUAGGGGGGGAAAGCUGGCUCAGCUGGCUCAUCCUGGAACCUCUAGAGACUAAUAAUGAACUAUUUCUGCUCUUUUUCAUGUGUUUAUGCCACCAAAGACGUCGGAAAUGUAAUAGUUCCACUCUGAUGUGGUGUAAAAUGAGAUCUCUUGUUAUAUAGGGAAGCCGUGAAAUUGUUUUUAAUUCCUAUCCUAGCCAAAUGAAGGGGGAGGACGCCGUCGCCUCUGAAUUUCAAGUGUUUAAUUGUUUAACAUUCCGUCGGGGUGCGCCUCGUCGCCACGUGAAAUUAGACCUCGGCCUCGGAGACUUUCAGCAGGCCCGCGGUGUGCAAAUCAGCCUCUCAGCAGACAUUCCCACACAUCUCAGCUGCCCUGAGCCUCGCACAUGCUAAUACCGGACCACAUUUGCAUGUCCAAUCCCCCCACCUACCGCCCCUCCCCUCCCGCUUACAAAUGUGCAACACUUCUCAAUACCAACACUGGGCUGCUCUUUUCCAAGUAUGCUAAUGUAAGGAAAAGGACCAAACACUCCAUUUAACAUUGAUUCCUUUGGUAUCGUUGAUGCUGCUCCUACAUGAGGUCAAACUCAACAUUUCCUCAAGUACUUCUCACACAAAACAAGUAUGAUGUGGGUUACAUGGAAAUGGAGAAGUGGGUCACAGGCUAUAAACCAUGCGUGAUGCCCAUGCUCACAGAUACAUCUAUUAAACAGGAGGGGGGAAAUAAUCGUACAUCCUCUAUAGCACACGUGGCAAUGAAGAACUGCUGAAUUUUCUUUAUUUAAUUGAUCUUUCCCUCAAAUAGAAGGUGGCGUUGAUCAUUAAAAUCACCUGCUUUGGUGACCGGUUUAAAAAAAAAAAAAACCUGUGGUGUCUCUGCCCUCCAUGGCAUGAGUUUGACACCCACUGCUCUCUACACCAGGGGUCUCAAACACGUGGCCCGCGGGCCAAAUGUGGCCCACAGGACACUAGUUUGAGGCCCUCGCCUUGAUAUGAAAGUUUAAUGUUAGUGCGGCCCACGCAAGUUUGAUAUGGAUGCUGUAUGGUAUCAUGUACCCAGAAAAAAUUAUUACGUUUGAUUAAUGUUCAUGUUAAAGGUUAAAUAACUGUUAAUAGUUAUCCUCCCUAUCCGUGUGGAAGUGGUACGUUUUUGGCUAUUUAAGUUUAAAGGAAAUAACUUGAAGGCUACCGUUUAGGUCGCUAGCUCUCUAGUUUGCGAGUUAGCAUGUGUGUCAAGACCCUGCAGUUGCGCAAUAUGUUGUAAAUAAAGAGUAUAAAUGUGACUAUAGUCGUGUUUUGUCAUGUCUACAGGGCUCUAAUAAUGCUUUGUUCAUUUUAAUCUGAAAAAAAUAAUUUGUUUCUUAAGUUUUUACUAUUUGCCGUUUUAUUAUUAUUAUAUUUUUUUAUUACUGAUUGAUUUUCUUUAUUCUUGAUUUGGUUAUUUUUCAUCUUAUUUUGUGCAGAAAAAUAAAAAUUAAGAUAUUUGAGAACAGUGGAAUGUUUUAUCAGAGUUUUAUUGUAGAAAAUCGGAACCAAAGCACUGAAAAAGUUUGUAUAUUUUUCUGUUUUUAAUAAAUGCGUUUUUUUUUUUUUUGGAAAACCUGAUGCGGCCCAGCCUUGCCCAGACCCUAGCUCCAGUGGCCCCCAGUUAAAUUGAGUUUGAGACCCCUGCUCUACACUAAAGCCAUGUUUGGUAAGUGCCAACAGGAGGGACUUUCAUCUCAUCCAGGACUCAAUUGUUUGUCUGAGAUCAUCUUGAAAAAAAAAUGUAUUAACCAAAGGUUGGCUGAAAUUGAA